CGCUAGCUACAGGCUUAACACAUGCAAGUCGAGGGGCAUCAGGAAGAAAGCUUGCUUUCUUUGCUGGCGACCGGCGCACGGGUGAGUAACACGUAUCCAACCUGCCCUUUACUCGGGGAUAGCCUUUCGAAAGAAAGAUUAAUACCCGAUAGCAUAAUGAUUCCGCAUGGUUUCAUUAUUAAAGGAUUCCGGUAAAGGAUGGGGAUGCGUUCCAUUAGGUUGUUGGUGAGGUAACGGCUCACCAAGCCUUCGAUGGAUAGGGGUUCUGAGAGGAAGGUCCCCCACAUUGGAACUGAGACACGGUCCAAACUCCUACGGGAGGCAGCAGUGAGGAAUAUUGGUCAAUGGGCGCUAGCCUGAACCAGCCAAGUAGCGUGAAGGAUGAAGGCUCUAUGGGUCGUAAACUUCUUUUAUAUAAGAAUAAAGUGCAGUAUGUAUACUGUUUUGUAUGUAUUACAUGAAUAAGGAUCGGCUAACUCCGUGCCAGCAGCCGCGGUAAUACGGAGGAUCCGAGCGUUAUCCGGAUUUAUUGGGUUUAAAGGGAGCGUAGGUGGACUGGUAAGUCAGUUGUGAAAGUUCGCGGCUCAACCGUAAAAUUGCAGUUGAUACUGUCAGUCUUGAGUACAGUAGAGGUGGGCGGAAUUCGUGGUGUAGCGGUGAAAUGCUUAGAUAUCACGAAGAACUCCGAUUGCGAAGGCAGCUCACUGGACUGCAACUGACACUGAUGCUCGAAAGUGUGGGGUAUCAAACAGGAUUAGAUACCCUGGUAGUCCACACAGUAAACGAUGAAUACUCGCUGUUUGCGAUAUACAGUAAGCGGCCAAGCGAAAGCAUUAAGUAUUCCACCUGGGGAGUACGCCGGCAACGGUGAAACUCAAAGGAAUUGACGGGGGCCCGCACAAGCGGAGGAACAUGUGGUUUAAUUCGAUGAUACGCGAGGAACCUUACCCGGGCUUAAAUUGCAGUGGAAUGAUGUGGAAACAUGUCAGUGAGCAAUCACCGCUGUGAAGGUGCUGCAUGGUUGUCGUCAGCUCGUGCCGUGAGGUGUCGGCUUAAGUGCCAUAACGAGCGCAACCCUUAUCUUCAGUUACUAACAGGUCAUGCUGAGGACUCUGGAGAGACUGCCGUCGUAAGAUGUGAGGAAGGUGGGGAUGACGUCAAAUCAGCACGGCCCUUACGUCCGGGGCUACACACGUGUUACAAUGGGGGGUACAGAAGGCAGCUAGCGGGUGACCGUAUGCUAAUCCCAAAAGCCUCUCUCAGUUCGGAUCGAAGUCUGCAACCCGACUUCGUGAAGCUGGAUUCGCUAGUAAUCGCGCAUCAGCCACGGCGCGGUGAAUACGUUCCCGGGCCUUGUACACACCGCCCGUCAAGCCAUGGGAGCCGGGGGUACCUGAAGUACGUAACCGCAAGGAUCGUCCUAGGGUAAAACUGGUGACUGG
This 1442-nucleotide ribosomal RNA is filed under the name uncultured organism. RNAcentral describes it as "SSU rRNA". It matches the Rfam family "Bacterial small subunit ribosomal RNA". The record is from RNAcentral.